Molecule: unclassified non-coding RNA, 1307 nt
Filed under: uncultured Basidiomycota
Lineage: Eukaryota; Fungi; Basidiomycota
Description: sequence contains 18S rRNA gene, ITS1, 5.8S rRNA gene, ITS2, 28S rRNA gene
Rfam family: Eukaryotic large subunit ribosomal RNA (bases 381-1307)
Source: RNAcentral
GGAUGGAUCAUUCUUGUUUCUACAACCAACACACGGAUACGUUGACUUCUACCCACAUUUACACCACAUUACUCUAACUAAAACUUUUGGCGAUGGAUGACUCGACUCUCGUAACGAGGAAGGACGCAGCAAAAUGCGAUAAGCAUUAUGACUUGCGAACACUCGUGAAUCACUCGAUUUCUGAACGCAGUUGUGCUCUUUGACUUUGUCUUCGAGCAUGUUUGGUUCGGUAUCCUUUAGAUUUGACAUUUUGUCCUCAGACAAAAUGUUGAUGAGUGCUCUCAGGCUGGGCCCGUUAGCAUUUUGGAAUCGAAAUGAUGCAUUCUCUCACCCAGAGUGGUACUGUGGGCGAGGAAGCACACGUUCGGUUUUUCUUAUCUGGAUCCGAGCUCAAACAAGAGUACCCGCUGAAUUUAAGCAUAUAACUAAGCGGAGGAAAAGAAACCAACAGGGAUUCUCAGAGUAGCGGCGAGCGAAAUGGGAACAGCCCAAGAUGCGAAUCCAGUUCACGCUGGAAUUGUGCAUCGUGUCAACGCAAGCGAGAACUUCGGAUAAGAUGUCAGGAAAGACAUGCCAUAGACGGUGACAGCCCGGUCUGUGCCGAAUGUUCAAGCGUUACUGUGCUGACACAAUGAGUCACGCUCUUUGGGAGUAGAGCGCAAAAUGGGUGGUAACCUCCAUCCAAGGCUAAAUACCAACGAGAGAUCGAUAGCAAACAAGUACCGUGAGGGAAAGUUGAAAAGCACUUCGAAAGGAGAGUUAAAAUACCUGAAAUCGCCAAAAGGGAAGCGACUGUUUGUGACCCGCUCAUUACGAGGACGAGUGUAGAACAACUUUACCUCGCGUGGCAAUUAAACCUGUCACGCAAGGGAAAAGAUUAAUACUCCGUCCCUUUAAUGACACUUGGCAACACUUCAAGUAUCCAUCAAACCAAGGAAGCUUGCUUCGUUGGCAGCCAUGGAUAGUUGGAGUGACGCUUGCCUCCGCAAGUUGCCAAGAGUGGCACAAACAGGCGACCCGUCUUGAAACACGGACCAAGGAGUUAAACAUAUGUGCGAGUGUAAGAGUGACAAACUCCUACGCGCAGUGAAAGCAAUUACGGUAGAUACCAAUUCAACCGUGGCCGACUUUAAGUUCGAGCUUGAGCAUAUUUGUUUAGACCCGAAAGAUGGUGACCUAUACCUGAGUUGGGUGAAGCCAGGGGAAACCCUGGUGGAAGCUCGUAGCGAUACUGACGUGCAAAUCGUUCGUCGAACUUGGGCAUAGGGGCGAAAGACUAAUCGAACCAUCUAGUAGCUGGUUCCCUC